This 73-nucleotide transfer RNA is filed under the name Ipomoea nil (Japanese morning glory). It matches the Rfam family "tRNA". From Rfam's summary of the family: Transfer RNA (tRNA) molecules are approximately 80 nucleotides in length. Lineage: Eukaryota; Viridiplantae; Streptophyta; Magnoliopsida; Solanales; Convolvulaceae. The record is from Rfam by way of RNAcentral.
GGCUUAUUAGCUCAGUUGUUAGAGCGUCGUGCUAAUAACGCGAAGGUCACAGGUUUGACACCUGUAUGGGCCA